GCCUUAUUAGCUCAAUUGGUAGAGCGUUUGUUUUGUAAGCAAAAGGUUUUCAGUUCAAUUCUGAAAUAAGGCU
RNAcentral lists this transfer RNA (73 nucleotides) under Picobiliphyte sp. MS584-11. RNAcentral's name for it is "tRNA-Thr". It matches the Rfam family "tRNA". Rfam says of the family: Transfer RNA (tRNA) molecules are approximately 80 nucleotides in length. Their secondary structure includes four short double-helical elements and three loops (D, anti-codon, and T loops). Further hydrogen bonds mediate the characteristic L-shaped molecular structure. tRNAs have two regions of fundamental functional importance: the anti-codon, which is responsible for specific mRNA codon recognition, and the 3' end, to which the tRNAs corresponding amino acid is attached (by aminoacyl-tRNA synthetases). tRNAs cope with the degeneracy of the genetic code in two manners: having more than one tRNA (with a specific anti-codon) for a particular amino acid; and 'wobble' base-pairing, i.e. permitting non-standard base-pairing at the 3rd anti-codon position. Lineage: Eukaryota; Picozoa. The record is from RNAcentral.